AGACCGAUAGCGAACAAGUAGAGUGAUCGAAAGAUGAAAAGCACUUUGAAAAGAGAGUUAAAAAGUACGUGAAAUUGUUGAAAGGGAAGCGUUUAUGACCAGACUUGGGCUUGGUUAAUCAUCUGGGGUUCUCCCCAGUGCACUUUUCCAGUCCAGGCCAGCAUCAGUUUUCCCCGGGGGAUAAAGACGGCGGGAAUGUGGCUCUCUUCGGGGAGUGUUAUAGCCCACCGUGUAAUACCCUGGGGGGGACUGAGGUUCGCGCAUCUGCAAGGAUGCUGGCGUAAUGGUCAUCAACGACCCGUCUUGAAACACGGACCAAG
Molecule: ribosomal RNA, 320 nt
Filed under: Fusarium oxysporum
Lineage: Eukaryota; Fungi; Ascomycota; Sordariomycetes; Hypocreales; Nectriaceae
Description: LSU rRNA
Rfam family: Eukaryotic large subunit ribosomal RNA
Source: RNAcentral